RNAcentral lists this non-coding RNA (760 nucleotides) under Distenia punctulatoides. The record is from RNAcentral. Lineage: Eukaryota; Metazoa; Arthropoda; Insecta; Coleoptera; Cerambycidae.
AGGUUUUAUUUUGGCCUACAAAUUUAGUUUAAUUUGAAUUUACAUGUAAAGUUAACUUAAAUUAGAGGUGGUUUUUAUUAAACUAUAAUUUUUUGGUUCGCAGUUAGUAAUUUUAAAUAUUAAUGAAAGUUAGAUUUAGUUAUAAUUAGGAGUGUUGACUUAACUUGUGCCAGCAGUCGCGGUUAUACAGGUAUUACAAUUAAAUUUUUUUUUGGUUUUAGUAAUUUUUAAUUAAUGAUUUUAAUUUAAAUUUAUUAGGUGAAAUUUUAAAUUUAAAUUUUUCAAUUAUAAAGAAUCUGUGAAAUUUUUUUUAAAACUAGGAUUAGAUACCCUAUUAUAUGAAUGUAAAAUUUUAGCUUGAUUAGUAUAAGAUAUGUUCUUUAAAAUUAAAAAAUUUGGCGGUAUUUUAGUCUAUUUAGAGGAACCUGUCCUGUAAUUGAUAAUCCACGAUUUUAAGUAUUUUGUGUUUUAGUUUUCAUAUCGUCGUGAUUGAAUAUUUCUGGAGAAUUAUAAUGUUCAAAAUUUAUUUUAUAAAAGAUGUCAGAUCAAGGUGUAGCUUAUAAUUAAAUAGAGAUGGGUUACGUUAAAAUUAAAGGGAGACUAGUUCGUUUAGUGACUAGUGUUUAGGAUUUAAUAGUAAAUUAAAUUAAAUUAUUUAAUUGAUUUUAGCUCUAAAAUAUGUACAUAUCGCCCGUCGCUUUUACUUUAAAGUAAAAUAAGUCGUAACAAAGUAGACCUACUGGAAGGUGGGCCUAGAAAG